RNAcentral lists this ribosomal RNA (433 nucleotides) under uncultured bacterium. RNAcentral describes it as "partial 16S ribosomal RNA". It matches the Rfam family "Bacterial small subunit ribosomal RNA", at positions 29 to 507 of the family's 1533-position model. The record is from RNAcentral.
AACGAACGCUGGCGGCAUGCCUAACACAUGCAGGUCGAACGAGACCUUCGGGUCUAGUGGCGCCCGGGUGCGUAACGCGUGGGAACCUGCCCUUAGGUUCGGAAUAACUCCCCGACAGGGGUGCUAAUACCGGAUAAUGUCUUCGGACCAAAGAUUUAUCGCCUUUGGAUGGGCCCGCGUUGGAUUAGCUAGUUGGUAGGGUAAAAGCCUACCAAGGCGACGAUCCAUAGCUGGUCUGAGAGGAUGAUCAGCCACACUGGGACUGAGACACGGCCCAGACUCCUACGGGAGGCAGCAGUGGGGAAUAUUGGACAAUGGGCGAAAGCCUGAUCCAGCAAUGCCGCGUGAGUGAUGAAGGCCUUAGGGUUGUAAAGCUCUUUUACCCGGGAUGAUAAUGACAGUACCGGGAGAAUAAGCUCCGGCUAACUCCGUG